CGCCAUUUUCGUCUGUCCAAUUUCUUGUUUGUGCUUGACCCCACGUCUACAGCUUGUUUGACCUACAGAAAGAUUUAUACUCGGUAUUUUUGAUCUGGUUUUUUUUUUCUAAUGACUUCCUCGACAUAAGCAACUGCAGAUCUAAACUCUCGGACGGUGAAACAUGUGAUCCAGGCUGUACAUUUUUGUGGGAUAGUCGUGAUCUGGUCGUCCGUUUUCUUCUGUCUACCGGAUUUCUUUACCAUUAUAUGUCCUAUACCGUUUGAGGGAGUUCUGGCUGUGGUUGCAGGACGUCUGGUUAGUGAGCAGGCGUCAGACCCAGACAAAGGGGUCCCUUCUCAACAGCAUUCGAAUGAACAUCUGACGCACCCGCAAGGGUCAAUGUGCACAUACAGUACACUGGGACUACUGUUGACAGACUUUUGGCGUCUCGUGUGAAUGAUUGGGCUGUUUGGUCCCUUGCCGCGGAUUUCCAGUGCGUGCGAACAGCGAGACGCGCUGCAAGCAGAGUCUGGCGACAAACGGAGGCCUGAUUGCAGGAGUGGCACAAAUUGCAGGAUUAGCAGCUGUAUGGUGACAGGACCGUCAACCGCUUCGCCUACAUCUGGUUCUAGGUAUGUCGCGCCCCAGGAUAAUAAUUGGCGGUGGCAGCAACAAACAAGGCAAGGUCAGCUCUCUGGCUUUUCCUCCACGCCAGCAACGCAACCUGAUACUGAGAUGCAAGGAGAAAUGCUUGUAUUAGGUACAUGUUCUUCCAACCGUUUCUAAGGUUUUCUCCCUCAUCUGGGAGGAGGGUACACUUUCGCCGGGUAACAGCAAUAGCCUAUUUGAGCCCAUAUCUUCCAAACUAAGAUGAAUAAAGUGAAGAUAGAGACCGAACACCUUCUGUCGAAUCAGCACCCCGAUGCAUAUCACGAAUAGCGACUUGCCGACGAGUGGGCGUCUCUUGAAUGGUUCAGGCCAUACAAUAUGCGCGGAGGAGGACCUAUUGAUAAACUAUUAUUACUCCAUGCGACGAGCCACAGUUGCCUUAUCGCAAUUGAAGGCCAAACGAUCGGUGGAGAUUACCCAGAAUUAUUGUGAUUACCAGUGAGAGGCCUGCUACCGGCUGGGUGUGUUUGCUUGCCCAAGGUAGACCCACCCGGAAGAUGGUCCGCGCAAGUUACCCCUACCCCUGGGGAAAGUAUACAAACUUGGGCAUGACAAGAAGGGCAAGCCGGCUUUAGAUGCAGGAAUCGCCCUAUGCUACGACAACGGAUCAGUUCACUUCGGUGCAAACUCCGCACUGGUGUCGUCUGCUACAAACUGACGAACGUUUGGCGGGUGAAAUCUACACCCAGGAAAUGAGCGCAAGCAUCAAUUAUCACCACAGCAGAAGGUUACGCUAUGCCGGCAAGCGGGUACAGAGCUAGUGACGCCACAGAGCCACCAGGUGCGGGGGAAAAAACAGAAAAAACUGCACGCUUGUUGCUCCUUCAUCAACACCCUUCUCCAAACAUUCAACCCAUCCUUUUCCGCCCCUUCCAGCCCUCCCGACAUGGCUCCAACAUGUUCCGACAUGUGCACAAAUACGAGAAGUGGUCGCAAAACUUGUCGUUCCACACGAAGAAGAAAUCAAAUUCUCCAGACAAACACUUUUCCACUCCCGAGUGCCCGCUCAGACGGAAGGUUUGCGCAGUAGUCUGCGCAGGCCCGCGCGCAGUCGAGCAGAGAGAAGAGAAAUACACAGGUGACUGUUUGUGUAUGUUGAGCACGUGCGACCCCGACUUUAAAAAAAAGAUUGAAUUCAAACAGGGAACUAAAAAUAAUCUUCAACAUUUUCUCGGCUUCUUUUUUGCCUCUGUCCCUCUUAUCCCUCUCCUGUCUGUCAGUCGGAUUGUUGGUCGAUCUGUCCGAUCAUAAGUAGAUUUGUACGUCGCUGUUUGACAAUUCUACUACAUAUUGUCUCGUGAUCGUUGUUAAAGGUGAUAACUGUUGGUCAUUUAAAUUCGAAAUUAGCUCGCAGGCCAUAAAAUUUAUCAAGCACCCAGUUCAAAGAAAAAAAUAUCCUCUAUUUCUUGUCCAUUGCUGUAUAGAAAAGAGCGAGCGGACUGGACAAUGCUCGGGUAGAGAGGUGAGGCGAGAUGUGGUGCUUGAUAAAGGAAAAUAUAAUUAUCUUAACAAAUGAACACAUGGUGUUUCACUGGUCACAGAGGUGUUUUUCACCCUGUUUUCAAGAAGAGAUCCGAGUGUAAGCAUGCGAACAAUAAUUGCAGAAUUGGCGUGAUACAUUUGCCGUGCAUGAGCGCGUGUCUGCUGACUGCUGCGCGCUCAGCUGAUUAAACGAGUGAAAGCACACAAUUUCUUAAGUAACGCCGGACGUGUGAUUGGAAGAAGAGGAGAUUCUGGGGGUAGUUACUGACUAUUUUUGUUAUCACAGACGUGUAGUUCUGACAGAAUUAAAAGGCCC
This is a long non-coding RNA of Pomacea canaliculata, 2449 nucleotides long. RefSeq lists it as uncharacterized. The record is from RefSeq and is a predicted model, not a curated record. The transcript has 5 exons. Lineage: Eukaryota; Metazoa; Mollusca; Gastropoda; Architaenioglossa; Ampullariidae.